This 500-nucleotide ribosomal RNA is filed under the name uncultured bacterium. Its description in RNAcentral is "partial 16S ribosomal RNA". It matches the Rfam family "Bacterial small subunit ribosomal RNA", at positions 30 to 523 of the family's 1533-position model. The record is from RNAcentral.
AUUGAACGCUGGCGGAAUGCUUUACACACGCAAGUCGAACGGCAGCACGGACUUCGGUCUGGUGGCGAGUGGCGAACGGGUGAGUAAUGUAUCGGAACGUGCCCAGUCGGGGGGGAUAACGUAGUGAAAAUUACGCUAAUAACGCAUACGAUCUAUGGAUGAAAGCGGGGGAUCGCAAGACCGCGCGCGAUUGGAGCGGCCGAUAUCAGAUUAGGGAGUUGGUGGGGUAAAGGCCCACCAAGGCAACGAUCUGUAGCUGGUCUGAGAGGACGACCAGCCACACUGGAACUGAGACACGGUCCAGACUCCUACGGGAGGCAGCAGUGGGGAAUUUUGGACAAUGGGCGAAAGCCUGAUCCAGCCAUUCCGCGUGCAGGAUGAAGGCCCUCGGGUUGUAAACUGCUUUUGUACAGAACGAAAAGGUUUCUACUAAUACUAGGAGCUCAUGACGGUACUGUAAGAAUAAGCACCGGCUAACUACGUGCCAGCCGCCGCGGUAA